GAUGAACGCUAGCUACAGGCUUAACACAUGCAAGUCGAGGGGAAACGACAUCGAAAGCUUGCUUUCGAUGGGCGUCGACCGGCGCACGGGUGAGUAACGCGUAUCCAACCUGCCCACCACUUGGGGAUAACCUUGCGAAAGUAAGACUAAUACCCGAUGAUAUCUCUAGAAGACAUCUGAAAGGGAUUAAAGAUUUAUCGGUGAUGGAUGGGGAUGCGUCUGAUUAGCUUGUUGGCGGGGUAACGGCCCACCAAGGCAACGAUCAGUAGGGGUUCUGAGAGGAAGGUCCCCCCACAUUGGAACUGAGACACGGUCCAAACUCCUACGGGAGGCAGCAGUGAGGAAUAUUGGUCAAUGGGCGAGAGCCUGAACCAGCCAAGUAGCGUGCAGGACGAGGCCCUAUGGGUUGUAAACCUCUUUUAGCCCGGGGAGCAAAGCGCCGUGCGCGGUGCUAUGAGAGUA
RNAcentral lists this ribosomal RNA (462 nucleotides) under uncultured bacterium. Its description in RNAcentral is "bacterial SSU rRNA". It matches the Rfam family "Bacterial small subunit ribosomal RNA", at positions 28 to 477 of the family's 1533-position model. The record is from RNAcentral.